RNAcentral lists this ribosomal RNA (741 nucleotides) under uncultured bacterium. Its description in RNAcentral is "bacterial SSU rRNA". It matches the Rfam family "Bacterial small subunit ribosomal RNA", at positions 28 to 776 of the family's 1533-position model. The record is from RNAcentral.
AAUGAACGUUGGCGGCGUGGAUUAGGCAUGCAAGUCGUGCGAGAAGUGUUUUUUGCUUGCAUUGAACACGGACAGCGGCGAAAGGGAGAGUAACGUGUGGUUACAUGCCUCGGGGUCCAGGAUAGCGUUGGGAAACUGGCGGUAAUACUGGAUGAUAUCUAAGGAUCAAAGGUGUGAUUCCGCCCUGAGAUUGGACCGCAUACUAUUAGCUUGUUGGUGAGGUAAUGGCUCACCAAGGCUGCGAUGGUUACCGGGUGUGAGAGCAUGGCCCGGCUCACUGGGACUGAGACACUGCCCAGACACCUACGGGUGGCUGCAGUCGAGAAUCUUCGGCAAUGGACGAAAGUCUGACCGAGCGACGCCGCGUGCGGGAUGAAGGCCCUCGGGUUGUAAACCGCUGUCAGUUUGGAGGAAAGAUCUGUGAAGAGCAGAUCUUGACCGAUAUUCAGAGGAAGGACGGGCUAAGUUCGUGCCAGCAGCCGCGGUAAGACGAACCGUCCAAACGUUAUUCGGUAUCACUGGGCUUAAAGCGUGCGUAGGCGGCUUGGUAGGUGUGAUGUGAAAGCCCACGGCUCAACCGUGGAAUUGCGUCGCAAACCCCCAAGCUUGAGGAAGACAGGGGUGUUGGGAACUUAUGGUGGAGCGGUGAAAUGCGUUGAUAUCAUAGGGAACACCGGUGGCGAAGGCGCAACACUGGGUCUUUUCUGACGCUGAGGCACGAAAGCUAGGGUAGCGAACGGG